GCUGGGUAUGGUGGAGCAUGCCUGUAAUCCCAACAGCUUGGAAGGCUGAGACAGGAGGAUUGUGAGUUCAAAGACAGUCUCAGCAAAUUAGUGAGGCCCUAAGCAAAACAGCAAGACUCUGUCUCUA
This 127-nucleotide small RNA is filed under the name Marmota monax (woodchuck). The record is from RNAcentral. Lineage: Eukaryota; Metazoa; Chordata; Mammalia; Rodentia; Sciuridae.